GACGAACGCUGGCGGCGUGGAUUAGGCAUGCAAGUCGAACGGUAUCAUCCUUUCGGGGGUGAGAGAGUGGCGAACUGGUGAGUAACACGUAGGUUAUCUACCCUCAAGACGGGGACAACCCAGGGAAACUUGGGCUAAUACCGGAUGUGAGCAACUUUUAGUUGUUUGAAAGGUGGCGUAAGCUGUCGCUUGGGGAUGAGCCUGCGUCCUAUUAGUUAGUUGGUGAGGUAACGGCUCACCUAGGCAAUGAUAGGUAGGCGGCCUUAACGGGUGGUCGCCCACACUGGGAUUGAGAUACGGCCCAGACUCCUACGGGAGGCAGCAGUCGAGAAUAGUCUACAAUGGUCGGAAGACUGAUAGUGCGACGCCGCGUGAACGAUGAAUCCCUUCGGGGUUAAAGUUCUUUUAUAUGUGAGCAGUGCUUCUUAUAUUAACAGUAUGGGGAGAGAGAUAUUAGCAUAUGAAUAAGCAACGGCUAACUCCGUGCCCAGCAGCCGCGGUAAUA
Molecule: ribosomal RNA, 505 nt
Filed under: uncultured bacterium
Lineage: Bacteria
Description: bacterial SSU rRNA
Rfam family: Bacterial small subunit ribosomal RNA
Source: RNAcentral